AUGGCUGCCACCAUGAAAACGUGCUCUUGUUUAUAAACAAGUGGAUUUCUACACUGAUUUUCGACAGAACAUUUUGCCUGACAUUGAACUAAUAACUCUAUAUUUUUCAAGGUUUCUAUAAGCUUUCUUGGAAUGACUAAUCAAGGGAUGACAUCUUUGACAUGUCUGAGAGAAACAUAGCUUAUAUCUCAUUCUCAAUGUCAAAUCGGCAGCAGCUUGUUUUACUGUUUUGACACACUCACGCCACUCAGGAAGUUUUCAUUAAGACCGGGACAUGCACCUUUGUAUUAACUGUUCCCGUUUUUUACGGCUUACGCAAGCGAUCCCAAAAAAAUUUGGUGCUUCCUCUGUUCCAAGACAUUUUGGUACAAGAAACUUUACAAAUGAUCCAACAUCCCGACCUGACAUACCCACUCAACGCGUGGAGCCGGUGCCUAAACAUCGGUCGUUGUUACACGCAGAAGAUGUGCCCAGCAAGGAAAAGGUCUUGUCCAGUCAUGAGGUGUUGGCGGGGAAAACUGUUACUCGUUCAAGUCAUUACAUCAUUGACAGAGAUAUUGCAAGGGCUAUAGCGACAGCAGUUUAUCAAAACCAGCCAUCCGAGAGUUGUGUCCUUGUCGAGGCAAAUCCUGGGCCAGGGAUAUUGACAAGGGCUUUCUUUGAUGCAGGGUGUCAGCACGUUGUUGCUGUAGAGAGUAAACCAGAAUUCCAGCCAUACAUGCAGGAGAUUGAGAGGACAGUGGGACCAGACAGACUCAAGUAUUUUGACUUUGAUCCUUUCAUCUUGUGGAGGCGGGACAUGAUCACGAACAAGCAUGAUGCCAGGUACAAGGAAGUAGAGAACAGCAUUGCCCAGUACAUAACAUCCAGGCUGCUGACAGAUGUUCCUGUCAGUGUGUUUGGUGUUCUGAGUAAAAACAAGGAGUAUCCCUUCCUCUCCUACCUGUCCAAGACCUUUGCCUUAGGGGAAGGGCUGUUCUCUGUCAGGCCAAGGAACUGGUUCUUGUUUGUGUCUGCUAAAAUGUACCUGCAACUGAAGGUUUGUCGGGGUGACGUUUGGUCGUCCGUCUUCUACAACAAAGUGGCUGUCAUCCUCUACAGUUUCUUUGACUUCAAGUUGGUGAUGGAGCUUGAACACAACAAAUUUGCACCUCCAUUUAGGAAGAAAAUCAGGAAAGUGACCCGGCUGUACCCCGAGUGUGAUGUCAACACAAAGUACCUUGUGCAGCUGUCGGUGAAGCCAAAUGUAGAACAGAUCCUUCCUCCCAGUGAGAUCACCACCUUUGCCAUGUUCCUUAAACAGCUCCUGUUCAGGAGGAAUGACAGAUUCAUCCCCCGAAUGGAACAGCUGAUCCCUGGGUGUGGGCUGCACUUGAUCCAGGCCAGGUUCUCCAUGAUGCAGCUAGUGAUGGACCUGACUCCGGCACAGCUGCUGGAGGUCUUCAAGUCACUUCUCACCUGGCCAGAGUAUCCGGACUCUCCCCUGUCCUUCAUCUUGACAGAGAGGUCAGAGGUCGACAUUGAUGAGGAAGAGGUCAAGGAUAAAUUAAAAGAGGAGGAGGACAAGUUGAAAGAGGAAGAUAUUGCCUUUGAAGGCAGCAGGGUGGUCCGUGGUGGUGACUGAUGCACUGACCUCUACCAAGGUCCUGGAGGUCAGCAGGGUGGUCUGUGGUGGUGAUUGAUGCACCAGCCUCUACCAAGGUCCUUGAGGUCAGCAGGGUGGUCUGUGGUGGUGAUUGAUGUACCAGCCUCUACCAAGGUCCCGGAGGUCAGCAGGGUGGUCUGUGGUGGUGAUUGAUGCACAGCCUCUACCAAGGUCCCGGAGGUCAGCAGGGUGGUCAGUGGUGGUGAUUGAUGUACCAGCCUCUACCAAGGUCCCGGAGGUCAGCAGGGUGGUCUGUGGUGGUGAUUGAUGUACCAGCCUUUACCAAGAUCCUGGAGGUCAGCAGGGUGGUCAGUGGUGGUGAUUGAUGCACCAGCCUCUACCAAGAUCCUGGAGGUCAGCAGGGUGGUCUGUGGUGGUGAUUGAUGCACCAACCUCUACCAAGAUCCUGGAGGUCAGCAGGGUGGUCCAUGGUGGUGACCGAUGCACCAGCCUUGAACAUCUGCAUGGUGGUCUGUGGUGUUAGAAAAUCUUCGUGGUGUCUGUGGUGGUUACCUAUGUGUCUCACAGUAGUCUAUUUCUGAUGUUUAUGUUGUGAAAAUGAAAGUAAUAUUUCUCAUCAUAUUUUGUAUAGGAGUGAAUAUUUUGAUGAGAAGAUGAUUUCUAUUUCUCAACUGCUGAACACGUAUGUGAUUAUCUCCCUUUGAUCAGUUGAAUCUCAUAAUCUCUUGAGUGGUCAAAGAAUUUCAGCUUAUACCAAAUAUUUAUCUUUCAUGACAAUACAACCGGGACACCCCUGUCCAAGUGUUGACCUGCUGCCCCACUGCAAAUGUAUCACAUGUAGGUCAUUCAGAAGUCUGCUGCUGACAUCAACUCAAUGUGUCUCAUGCACCUAUUGUAAAUGCCUGUUUGAACUCGAUGUACCGCAUAUAUUGAGUACAUUGUAAUUAUUUACUGAACAAUAUCAUACCAACUGAUGAUGAAGUGAAUCCUGGAGCUUAGAUGUGAAACACUUUGGUCCUGUGAAAAAGUGUCGGUCCCUCUAGCGAGUUUGGUUUUACACCACUUUUAACAAUAGUCCAUAGGGAUGCCACGAUACAUCGAUACAUUGAUGCUUCUUCUAAGACUUACAAUUAUCGAUACAUUCAAAA
RNAcentral lists this unclassified non-coding RNA (2754 nucleotides) under Haliotis rubra (blacklip abalone). RNAcentral describes it as "dimethyladenosine transferase 2, mitochondrial-like, transcript variant X6". The record is from RNAcentral. Lineage: Eukaryota; Metazoa; Mollusca; Gastropoda; Lepetellida; Haliotidae.